RNAcentral lists this ribosomal RNA (253 nucleotides) under uncultured bacterium. RNAcentral's name for it is "partial 16S ribosomal RNA". It matches the Rfam family "Bacterial small subunit ribosomal RNA", at positions 524 to 776 of the family's 1533-position model. The record is from RNAcentral.
UACGGGAGGGGCAAGCGUUGUUCGGAAUUACUGGGCGUAAAGGGCUCGUAGGCGGCCAACUAAGUCAGACGUGAAAUCCCUCAGCUUAACUGGGGAACUGCGUCUGAUACUGGAUGGCUUGGAUUUGGGAGAGGGAUGCGGAAUUCCAGGUGUAGCGGUGAAAUGCGUAGAUAUCUGGAGGAGCACCGGUGGCGAAGGCGGCAUCCUGGACCAACAUUGACGCUGAGGAGCGAAAGCGUGGGGAGCAAACAGG